This 374-nucleotide ribosomal RNA is filed under the name uncultured prokaryote. Its description in RNAcentral is "bacterial SSU rRNA". It matches the Rfam family "Bacterial small subunit ribosomal RNA", at positions 524 to 896 of the family's 1533-position model. The record is from RNAcentral.
UACGAAGGGUGCGAGCGUUGUUCGGAAUUACUGGGCGUAAAGGGUUUGUAGGCUGAAAUGUAAGUCAAGUGUGAAAUCCCCGAGCUAAACUUGGGACGUGCAUUUGAAACUGUGUUUCUUGAGUAUCGUAGAGGGUGGUGGAAUUGUAGGUGUAGGAGUGACAUCCGUAGAGAUCUGCAGGAACAUCAGAGGCGAAGGCGACCACCUGGCCGAUUACUGACGCUGAGGAACGAAAGCGUGGGGAGCAAACAGGAUUAGAUACCCUGGUAGUCCACGCCGUAAACGAUGAUAACUAGGUGUUGGAAGAAUUGACCCUUUCAGUACCGUAGCACACGCGCUAAGUUAUCCGCCUGGGGAGUACGGCCGCAAGGCUA